This 1493-nucleotide ribosomal RNA is filed under the name Limosilactobacillus fermentum. RNAcentral describes it as "bacterial SSU rRNA". It matches the Rfam family "Bacterial small subunit ribosomal RNA". The record is from RNAcentral. Lineage: Bacteria; Bacillati; Bacillota; Bacilli; Lactobacillales; Lactobacillaceae.
GAUGAACGCCGGCGGUGUGCCUAAUACAUGCAAGUCGAACGCGUUGGCCCAAUUGAUUGAUGGUGCUUGCACCUGAUUGAUUUUGGUCGCCAACGAGUGGCGGACGGGUGAGUAACACGUAGGUAACCUGCCCAGAAGCGGGGGACAACAUUUGGAAACAGAUGCUAAUACCGCAUAACAGCGUUGUUCGCAUGAACAACGCUUAAAAGAUGGCUUCUCGCUAUCACUUCUGGAUGGACCUGCGGUGCAUUAGCUUGUUGGUGGGGUAACGGCCUACCAAGGCGAUGAUGCAUAGCCGAGUUGAGAGACUGAUCGGCCACAAUGGGACUGAGACACGGCCCAUACUCCUACGGGAGGCAGCAGUAGGGAAUCUUCCACAAUGGGCGCAAGCCUGAUGGAGCAACACCGCGUGAGUGAAGAAGGGUUUCGGCUCGUAAAGCUCUGUUGUUAAAGAAGAACACGUAUGAGAGUAACUGUUCAUACGUUGACGGUAUUUAACCAGAAAGUCACGGCUAACUACGUGCCAGCAGCCGCGGUAAUACGUAGGUGGCAAGCGUUAUCCGGAUUUAUUGGGCGUAAAGAGAGUGCAGGCGGUUUUCUAAGUCUGAUGUGAAAGCCUUCGGCUUAACCGGAGAAGUGCAUCGGAAACUGGAUAACUUGAGUGCAGAAGAGGGUAGUGGAACUCCAUGUGUAGCGGUGGAAUGCGUAGAUAUAUGGAAGAACACCAGUGGCGAAGGCGGCUACCUGGUCUGCAACUGACGCUGAGACUCGAAAGCAUGGGUAGCGAACAGGAUUAGAUACCCUGGUAGUCCAUGCCGUAAACGAUGAGUGCUAGGUGUUGGAGGGUUUCCGCCCUUCAGUGCCGGAGCUAACGCAUUAAGCACUCCGCCUGGGGAGUACGACCGCAAGGUUGAAACUCAAAGGAAUUGACGGGGGCCCGCACAAGCGGUGGAGCAUGUGGUUUAAUUCGAAGCUACGCGAAGAACCUUACCAGGUCUUGACAUCUUGCGCCAACCCUAGAGAUAGGGCGUUUCCUUCGGGAACGCAAUGACAGGUGGUGCAUGGUCGUCGUCAGCUCGUGUCGUGAGAUGUUGGGUUAAGUCCCGCAACGAGCGCAACCCUUGUUACUAGUUGCCAGCAUUAAGUUGGGCACUCUAGUGAGACUGCCGGUGACAAACCGGAGGAAGGUGGGGACGACGUCAGAUCAUCAUGCCCCUUAUGACCUGGGCUACACACGUGCUACAAUGGACGGUACAACGAGUCGCGAACUCGCGAGGGCAAGCAAAUCUCUUAAAACCGUUCUCAGUUCGGACUGCAGGCUGCAACUCGCCUGCACGAAGUCGGAAUCGCUAGUAAUCGCGGAUCAGCAUGCCGCGGUGAAUACGUUCCCGGGCCUUGUACACACCGCCCGUCACACCAUGAGAGUUUGUAACACCCAAAGUCGGUGGGGUAACCUUUUAGGAGCCAGCCGCCUAAGGUGGGACAGAUGAUUA